Molecule: ribosomal RNA, 468 nt
Filed under: uncultured bacterium
Lineage: Bacteria
Description: partial 16S ribosomal RNA
Rfam family: Bacterial small subunit ribosomal RNA
Source: RNAcentral
GACGAACGCUGGCGGCGUGCUUAACACAUGCAAGUCGAACGGAAAGGCCCUGCUUUUGUGGGGUGCUCGAGUGGCGAACGGGUGAGUAACACGUGAGUAACCUGCCCUUGACUUUGGGAUAACUUCAGGAAACUGGGGCUAAUACCGGAUAGGAGCUCCGGCUGCAUGGUGGGGGUUGGAAAUUUUCGGCGGUUGGGGAUGGACUCGCGGCUGAUCAGCUUGUUGGUGGGGGAGUGGCUUACCAAGGCUUUGACGGGUAGCCGGCCUGAGAGGGUGACCGGCCACCUUGGGACUGAGAUACGGACCAGACUCCUACGGGAGGCAGCAGUGGGGAAUCUUGCACAAUGGGCGGAAGCCUGAUGCAGCAACGCCGCGUGCGGGAUGACGGCCUUCGGGUUGUAAACCGCUUUCGCCUGUGACGAAGCGUGAGUGACGGUAAUGGGUAAAGAAGCACCGGCUAACUACGUG